Molecule: ribosomal RNA, 386 nt
Filed under: uncultured prokaryote
Description: bacterial SSU rRNA
Rfam family: Archaeal small subunit ribosomal RNA
Source: RNAcentral
GCGCGAAAACUUUACAAUGCUGGCAACAGCGAUAAGGGAACCUCGAGUGCCAGGUUACAAAUCUGGCUGUCGAGAUGCCUGAAAAGCAUUUCAUAGCAAGGGCCGGGCAAGACCGGUGCCAGCCGCCGCGGUAACACCGGCGGCUCGAGUGGUAACCGUUAUUAUUGGGUCUAAAGGGUCUGUAGCCGGCCGGAUAAGUCUCUUGAGAAAUCUGGCAGCUUAACUGUCAGGCUUGCAGGAGAUACUGUCUGGCUCGAGGCCGGGAGAGGUGAGAGGUACUUCAGGGGUAGGGGUGAAAUCUUGUAAUCCUUGAAGGACCACCAGGGGCGUAGGCGUCUCACCAGAACGGACCUGACGGCAAGGGACGAAAGCUAGGGGCACGAACC